GGCCUUUCCGCCGCCGCCGGCAUCGGCGUCGACGAUCUCCGUCGCCUUUGCAUCCUCCGCAUGAGUUUCGUCAAAGGUUGGGGACCCGAUUACCCCAGGCAAAGCAUUAAAGAGACGCCAUGUUGGAUCGAAAUCCACCUCCAUCGAGCUCUUCAACUUUUGGAUGAAGUCCUGCACACGAUGCCCAUCGCCGAUCCGCAACCGUUGGACUGAAAUUCGGUGUCGGAAAGGCGCUGCGCCCGUCGGGUUUCGCUUUCGCUUUCGGUUUCACUUUCGGUUUCGGUUUGUUUUUUUUUUUUUUUUUCCUCGCUCUUUCGGGUUUGGGAGAAAUAAAAAGAUUGAUUCGGUCUCAACGCGGAGCUGAAAGGAGUUUUUGUUUCGUUACGGGGGUGAUUAGCGCUAUUGGGUCGUUAAUAAGCCUUCAGUUUAAUUAAUUAUGUCAUUUGUUCAUGAGUAAUCCCACCUAUCGCGUCAAUUAUGGGGUUAAUCUAUCAAUAAUCCUACCAACCUAUCAAUAAUCUCAUCAAUAAUCAGAUUAAUCCAUCACUAAUCACAUCAAUAAUCAGAUUAAUCCAUCAGUAAUGUAAUGAAUUCAUCACUAAUCCCAUUGAUAAUCAAAUUAAUCCAUCAAUAAUCCCAUCAAUCCAUCAUUAAUUCCAUCAGUAAUCAGAUUAAUACGUCAAUAACCCAAUUAAUCCAUCAAUAAUCCCAUCAAUUAUCAAAUGAAUCCAUCAAUAAUCCCAUUAGUCCACCAAUAAUCCCAUCAAUCUCUCAAUAAUCCCAUCAAUAAUCCCGUUAAUCUAUCAAUAAUCCCAUCAAUCCAGCAGUAUUCCUAUUAAUAAUUAAAUUAAUCCAUCACUAAUCCCAUCAAUAAUCAGGUUAAUCCAUCAAUAAUCAAAUUAACCCAUCAAUAAUCCCAUCAAUUAUCAAGUGAACCCAUCAAUAAUCCCAUUAAUCAAUAAUCCCAUCAAUCCCUCAAUAAUCCCAUCAAUAAUCCAAUUAAUCUAUCAAUAAUCCCAUCAAUCCAGCAGUAUUCUCAUUAAUAAUUAAAUUAAUCCAUCACUAAUUCCAUCAAUAAUCAAAUUAAUUCAUCACUAAUCAAAUUAAUCCAUCAAUAAUCCCAUCAAUCCAUCAUUAAUCUCAUCAACAUAUCAUUAAUUCCAUCAAUUAUCAGAUUAAUCCAUCAAUAAUUGCAUCAAUAAUGAGAUUAACCUACCUAUAGUCCCAUCAAUCUAUCACUAAUCGCAUCAAUCCAUCAUUAAUUCCAUCAGUAAUCAGAUUAAUCCAUCAAUAACCCAAUUAAUCCAUCAAUAAUCCCAUCAAUUAUCAAAUGAAUCCAUCAAUAAUCCCAUUAAUCCACCCAU
Molecule: long non-coding RNA, 1364 nt
Filed under: Chrysolophus pictus (golden pheasant)
Lineage: Eukaryota; Metazoa; Chordata; Aves; Galliformes; Phasianidae
Description: lncRNA (ENSCPIG00010001373.1)
Source: RNAcentral